GAUGAAGAACGUAGCGAAAUGCGAUAAGUAAUGUGAAUUGCAGAAUUCAGUGAAUCAUCGAAUCUUUGAACGCACAUUGCGCCCGCCAGUAUUCUGGCGAGCAUGCCUGUUCGAGCGUCAUUUCAACCAUCAAGCCCCAGGCUUGUGUUGGAGCCCUGCGGCUGCAGCAGCCUCCCAAAACCAGUGGCGGGCUCGCUAUCACACCGAGUGCAGUAGUUUACUCUUCGCUCAGGGCGUGUGGCGGGUGCUAGCCGUGAAACCCCCAACUUCUCAAGGUUGACCUCGGAUCAGGUAGGAAUACCCGCUGAACUUAAGCAUAUCAAUAAGCGGAGGA
RNAcentral lists this unclassified non-coding RNA (334 nucleotides) under soil metagenome. RNAcentral describes it as "partial contains 5.8S ribosomal RNA, internal transcribed spacer 2, and large subunit ribosomal RNA". The stretch from base 1 to 120 matches the Rfam family "5.8S ribosomal RNA", at positions 35 to 154 of the family's 154-position model. The record is from RNAcentral.